Molecule: long non-coding RNA, 278 nt
Filed under: Phoenix dactylifera (date palm)
Lineage: Eukaryota; Viridiplantae; Streptophyta; Magnoliopsida; Arecales; Arecaceae
Description: long non-coding RNA (PDAC_LNC005618)
Source: RNAcentral
CCGGUGACUGCAUCCAUCACAACGGUGGAAAAGGAGCAAGGAACGGUCCGCACCCAAAUCUCUCCCGAUUAGUUAGCUAAUAGAUUAAACCAAAGCAAGAACAAUUUAAUUGGCACAAUUAAUCCAGUGCACGACAAUUUUAAUCUUAAAUAAUUCAAUUACUAAAUCCAAAAAAAUCUCCACCAUACACAGAGCCUCAUUCUCCAGCUUACACGUGUCCUUCUCCCCUACAAAGAUUUUUCCUCCCACCGCCUCGCCUUCUACUACAUAAACCCGUC